Molecule: ribosomal RNA, 497 nt
Filed under: uncultured bacterium
Lineage: Bacteria
Description: partial 16S ribosomal RNA
Rfam family: Bacterial small subunit ribosomal RNA
Source: RNAcentral
GAUGAACGCUGGCGGCGUGCCUAAUACAUGCAAGUCGAGCGAACAGACGAGGAGCUUGCUCCUCUGACGUUAGCGGCGGACGGGUGAGUAACACGUGGAUAACCUACCUAUAAGACUGGGAUAACUUCGGGAACCCGGAGCUAAUACCGGAUAAUAUAUUGAACCGCAUGGUUCAAUAGUGAAAGACGGUUUUGCUGUCACUUAUAGAUGGAUCCGCGCCGCAUUAGCUAGUUGGUAAGGUAACGGCUUACCAAGGCAACGAUGCGUAGCCGACCUGAGAGGGUGAUCGGCCACACUGGAACUGAGACACGGUCCAGACUCUGACGGGAGGCAGCAGUAGGGAAUCUUCCGCAAUGGGCGAAAGCCUGACGGAGCAACGCCGCGUGAGUGAUGAAGGUCUUCGGAUCGUAAAACUCUGUUAUUAGGGAAGAACAAAUGUGUAAGUAACUAUGCACGUCUUGACGGUACCUAAUCAGAAAGCCACGGCUAACUACGUG